RNAcentral lists this unclassified non-coding RNA (239 nucleotides) under Hevea brasiliensis (rubber tree). The record is from RNAcentral. Lineage: Eukaryota; Viridiplantae; Streptophyta; Magnoliopsida; Malpighiales; Euphorbiaceae.
GAGCUGAAGAAAACAAAUGCCUUCUUAUAUAAAGGUGACUUUCCAGACAUGUCUGACAAGAACAUGACGACAUUCUCUUUAGUUGGUUGGAUGAAAUAUAUAGCAUCCCUGGAGGGAAAAGGUUGCCUUCGUCUGUAUAUAUCUUCUACCAAUGAAAUUCCUUCCUGUGUGAUAUCAGCCAUCUUCCAUGCAUAAGACAUGAUCUUUACGGUAAGUUUGUCCAUGAUGAGUACCUUCCA